UACGGAGGGUGCGAGUGUUGUCCGGAAUCAUUGGGCGUAAAGGGCGCGUAGGUGGCCCGGUCAGUUCGUGGUGAAAGCGCGGGGCUCAACCCUGCGUCGGCCAUGAAUACUGCCGCGGCUGGAGCACUGUAGAGGCAGGCGGAAUUCCGGGUGUAGCGGUGGAAUGCGUAGAGAUCCGGAAGAACACCGGUGGCGAAGGCGGCCUGCUGGGCAGUUGCUGACACUGAGGCGCGACAGCGUGGGGAGCAAACAGG
Molecule: ribosomal RNA, 254 nt
Filed under: uncultured bacterium
Lineage: Bacteria
Description: partial 16S ribosomal RNA
Rfam family: Bacterial small subunit ribosomal RNA
Source: RNAcentral